GAUGAACGCUGGCGGCGUGCCUAAUACAUGCAAGUCGAGCGAACAGACGAGGAGCUUGCUCCUCUGACGUUAGCGGCGGACGGGUGAGUAACACGUGGAUAACCUACCUAUAAGACUGGGAUAACUUCGGGACACCGGAGCUAAUACCGGAUAAUCUAUUGAACCGCAUGGUUCAAUAGUGAAAGACGGUGUUGCUGUCACUUAUAGAUGGAUCCGCGCCGCAUUAGCUAGUUGGUAAGGUAACGGCUUACCAAGGCGACGAUGCGUAGCCGACCUGAGAGGGGGAUCGGCCACACUGGAACUGAGACACGGUCCAGACUCCUACGGGAGGCAGCAGUAGGGAAUCUUCCGCAAUGGGCGAAAGCCUGACGGAGCAACGCCGCGUGAGUGAUGAAGGUCUUCGGAUCGUAAAACUCUGUUAUUAGGGAAGAACAAAUGUGUAAGUAACUAUGCACGUCUUGACGGUACCUAAUCAGAAAGCCACGGCUAACUACGUG
This 497-nucleotide ribosomal RNA is filed under the name uncultured bacterium. RNAcentral's name for it is "partial 16S ribosomal RNA". It matches the Rfam family "Bacterial small subunit ribosomal RNA", at positions 28 to 507 of the family's 1533-position model. The record is from RNAcentral.